UAAUUUCAGUGCAUGUCUGAGACCUUCGGGCUCGAAGCUUGGGAACUAGUAUUCAGGGAAAGAUAAAAUGGCGGCUUACGGCGGCGAAGGAAAUCUCAGUAGUUUAAUAUUUUAGCGUGAAAAGGCUUGGGUGUUGUGAUCUGGUUCUCAAGUAAAAAAAAAAUCACGGUCUGCAAUGGCCCUACCACCUUUUGAACAACAAGAAAACAUUGAAACGGUGGUAAAAAGCAGCAAGUUUCGAAGUCUAAACGAAAGAUGGGUGGUCAUUAUCCAUUACUUUUGGAAGUCGAUGCUGAUGAGAAAGAAAAUGUUUAUGAUUAUUUCUUCUCUCGAACAUUUUACUAUUUAGGUACCAAAUAAUCUUGAUACUGAAGAUCAUUGCAUCCAUUAUGAAAAAAUUACCCUUGAUUGCUUUGUCAACUGGAAUGUAUAAUGUAAUAUACCUUGUGAUUUGUGGGAUUUUCACAAGUAAACUAGAAAUACUUGAAGAGAGUAAUGAUGUACUUAAUGCAGAGCAUUUGGUACAAAGUCUGCUUUGCUGUAAUCUACCUGAAGGUGCUUUUUAUAUGCUAGUAAGACUUGCACAGCCCAGUCAAAAUGUUUUUGAGUAGUAGAAAAGCUGGCCAAACCUCUUCCUGAAAAGCAGUCUGAAAAAUGUGAAGUUAGCAGAAGGUACUUCAUUGUAGGCGGCCAAAUUGUAAGCUGCCAGCCCAUUUUGAGUGAGCAGUAAAACUCAAGAUUGGCUAUUUUAGCUAAUUUUAUUGAGAACCAAAUUCCCAGCAACGGGCACAAUUUUACUGGGCUAUUUGUUAUUUAACUACUUAGUAAUAUUCUUAUUAAAAUUUACUGCAUUCCUUUCUAAUAA
Pocillopora verrucosa is the source of this 865-nucleotide non-coding RNA. NCBI's taxonomy places the organism in Eukaryota, Metazoa, Cnidaria, Anthozoa, Scleractinia, Pocilloporidae. The record is from RefSeq and is a predicted model, not a curated record.